Molecule: long non-coding RNA, 1022 nt
Organism: Mobula hypostoma (lesser devil ray)
Lineage: Eukaryota; Metazoa; Chordata; Chondrichthyes; Myliobatiformes; Myliobatidae
Exons: 3
Source: RefSeq, a predicted model, not a curated record
GGACACUAAUCUGAACUGAUGGACAAUGAAAGAGAGAGCGAGGUCAACUGUAAAGCCCGCCCACAGAGAAAACUGAUAGGUCUACGUAGCACAAAGUCUUUUAACGUCAGCUACUUACAUCCAAUGAUCUUCGCUGGUGAGUGGACCACUCACUGCAACCUGGGAUUGGAGAGGGAGGAGGAGGAGGCAGGAAACCAAACGUUGAUAGAGGUGGUCACAACACUCUCAAUGAUGGCUCUACAGGAUUCACAGCAUCUGCAAUGGCUUCUAAUGUGCAAGGAAACAUCUCCCCAAUAAAAACCCGUUUCAUAACAGUCGAAUUGCUGUACAAAAACCAUCUCAGUCCUUGGUCCCUGUUCAGACUAACCCUGAAACUAUUUCUGGAUACAUAAAAUAUUCAGCACAAUUUUGAAAACAAAAGAUGUUUUAAACCUUUUGCUGUGAAAAACAGUGAAGUGGUUCAGCAGAAAUUCCCCUGUGGCCUAGUCUUCAAUUCUCUGCUUGAUUUGAACAUGAACUUGUUUUUUUGUCCAAUUACAGUAGCUGCAUAUCGAGUUCACGUGAUCAGUUCUGCAAAUCACCACUUCUUAAGCUGCAGUAGUUGGAAAGAGAUAAGGCUGAGUAGCUCUUGCAUGAAUAUCUUGUAAAUUAGCAAAGAGUUACACCCUAUCAAUGAGGAAACAAUUUAACUUCAUUCAUCAUUAACUUACUAAAGGAAAGUUUAGUUUCUAGAUUUUGUUGCUUUCCUGCACUAACAUGAAUUGAUUUAUCUUUGGCUAUUUUAGCUUGCAAAUUAUGCGAGACUAAAUUGGAACAUUUGCAGAAUAGGAACAAAAGCCUCAUCAAGGAAACUUGCAGACGAGGUGUUAGAUCUUUAUAAAUUUGUAAAACAGGAAGGAUUAGGUCUAAAAGAACACAUCUUUCUACAUGUUGAAAAACAUACCAUUGUGCAUUGUUUGUGAAAACACUUUCUCACAUAAUAGAAAAAGGAAGAAAUCAAAAGAAGACAAAAUAUAUUAAAA